AUUGAACGCUGGCGGCAUGCUUUACACAUGCAAGUCGAACGGUAACAGGCCGCAAGGUGCUGACGAGUGGCGAACGGGUGAGUAAUGCAUCGGAACGUGCCCAGUCGUGGGGGAUAACUACUCGAAAGAGUAGCUAAUACCGCAUACGAUCUAUGGAUGAAAGCGGGGGACCGUAAGGCCUCGCGCGAUUGGAGCGGCCGAUGUCAGAUUAGGUAGUUGGUGGGGUAAAGGCUCACCAAGCCAACGAUCUGUAGCUGGUCUGAGAGGACGACCAGCCACACUGGGACUGAGACACGGCCCAGACUCCUACGGGAGGCAGCAGUGGGGAAUUUUGGACAAAGGGCGCAAGCCUGAUCCAGCAAUGCCGCGUGCAGGAAGAAGGCCUUCGGGUUGUAAACUGCUUUUGUACGGAACGAAACGGCUCCGGUUAAUACCCGGGGCUAAUGACGGUACCGUAAGAAUAAGCACCGGCUAACUACGUG
RNAcentral lists this ribosomal RNA (482 nucleotides) under uncultured bacterium. RNAcentral's name for it is "partial 16S ribosomal RNA". It matches the Rfam family "Bacterial small subunit ribosomal RNA", at positions 30 to 507 of the family's 1533-position model. The record is from RNAcentral.